This is a long non-coding RNA of Mirounga angustirostris (Northern elephant seal), 1698 nucleotides long. RefSeq lists it as uncharacterized. Lineage: Eukaryota; Metazoa; Chordata; Mammalia; Carnivora; Phocidae. The record is from RefSeq and is a predicted model, not a curated record. The transcript has 9 exons.
UGCGUUCCCAUGAUUCACCGGCCGCGCCGCGCGGGGAAGCACGCAGGCCGCCUGGAGAGUCACGUGUAACCACCACCGGGAGGGUGUACGUGGCGGAUGAACACAGCAUUGAACGAGAGCCUGGGCUUGGGUGAAGCCAGGGUGUCCUGAAGGUCCUGGGUCUACAAGACUGGAGCAGCAUUGGGUAAUGGGCACCAGUGCCAUGGAUGCCAUCCGUGUGCAGGUCGGGACACUAGUCCUGAGCAUGAGAGAACUCUUCUGAAAACGUUGCUGAUUGCUGCUGUAGGACGUUCAUCAACACAGAUGACCAGGGCUCACGCCAGUGCUCCUGCAAGCCAGUGAAGACCGAAGAAUCUCCAUUGCUUCAUCAUUGGGUUUGUUGGCUGUGUCAUCUGCCAGUUCAGUUCUGCUACUGAGCCCUUCAAUGAAGUUUCUGCUUCAGAGAUGCCCUCAGAGGAGGUAGGAGCCCCAUUUGUCCCCACUCCGAACGGCCCUGAGAUGCCAUUUUUGGCCUCUCUCUGAUCAGCAGUUCUAACAGUUCUCAAGGACAAUGGCUGUGUUCAGAAUGAUUAAGGUUUCCAGAAGUCAGACCUUCAGACAAGUGGAGAUUCCCAGAAUUCUGGAUUCCAAAAAUGAUGUUAUGGCAAUGUUCUAAAUCCUUUGAGAUACAUAUUCUUUCAUCUCCAUAUAAUAGAUGAAGUAGCUGAAGCUCAAGAGGAUCAAAACAUGUUUUAAGUCAUGGAGCUGUAAAUGACUUAACUUCUCUCAGAUGGAGUUUUUCAUCUGUAAAAUGUGGAUAAUUAUACCUAUUUAUGGAGCAACUUGUGAAGAUGGAAUAAAAUAAUAUAUAAAAAAGCACUCAAGAAAUGGUGUUGUUUGGUGUUUCCCAGGAAGACAUUGGGCACCUUGCAAGAAAUGUUGGAAUGAUGCCACAUUUGCAUCAUCCGCUCCAUAAACUGCACCGAAAUGAAGACCUGCCUAAAGGUGUGGAAACACACUAGGGCCGUUUCUCUUUGCCCAACACAAAUUCCCUCUGAACUUCACACAAGUUCACCAAUAGCAGUCAUUUUGGUUGUGAGUUCUGUCUUUUCAUGUUAGCUUUUAACUGACAGCUACCGGGUACAUGGGACUUGAUAGAAACCCUUGUGCCUUCCCACAUUUCGAAUGAACAGUCCAGAAAUAAGUAGGAGGCAACAUAAAAACCUGAGGUGAAAGAAUAACUGGGAAAUUUAAUAAAGAAGAAAUGACCUGUUCAAUUUGAGAAUGAAAUUGCUUUACCAGAACAAAAUUCAGUAAGAUUUGAAGCCCAGACUCCAGUGCUACCACGGUGUGAAGAAACCUACCUCCGACUCUGAGCUGGAGUUUAAAGAGUCAUUAAAAAGCAAAGCGGGGCGCCUGGGUGGCUCAGUCGGUUAAGCGACUGCCUUCGGCUCAGGUCAUGAUCCUGGAGUCCCUGGAUCGAGUCCCGCAUCGGGCUCCCUGCUCGGCGGGGAGUCUGCUUCUCCCUCUGACCCUCCCCCCUCUCAUGUGCUCUCUCUCUCUCAUUCUCUCUGUCUCAAAUAAAUAAAAAUUUUUUAAAAAAUCUUAAAAAAAAAUAAAUAAAUAAAUAAAAAGCAAAGCAAGACGAACAAAAACAAAAGCAACCAUGUGCGAUAAGACUCCAAAUCAUUUGAUGUUAAGUUUUACGAGGAGUGUUUC